Molecule: unclassified non-coding RNA, 285 nt
Filed under: plant metagenome
Description: partial contains small subunit ribosomal RNA, internal transcribed spacer 1, and 5.8S ribosomal RNA
Rfam family: Eukaryotic small subunit ribosomal RNA (bases 1-54)
Source: RNAcentral
GGAAGUAAAAGCCGUAACAAGGUUUCCGUAGGUGAACCUGCGGAAGGAUCAUUAUUGUAUAACCGAGUUGCGAGGGCUGUCGCUGACCCGAAAGGUCGUGCACGCCCGAGUGCCCUCACACACAUCCAUCUCACCCCUAUGUGCACCACCGCGUGGGUCCCCCUUUGGCUUGUUCGGAGGGGGGCUUACGUUUUCACACAAACUUUGUAUGCAGUGUAGAAUGUAUUUUUUGUUUUUGCGAUCACGCAAUCAAUACAACUUUCAACAACGGAUCUCUUGGCUCUC